Molecule: ribosomal RNA, 758 nt
Filed under: uncultured prokaryote
Description: bacterial SSU rRNA
Rfam family: Bacterial small subunit ribosomal RNA
Source: RNAcentral
CCGAUUGNGAAGGCAGCUUGCUGGACUGUAACUGACGCUGAGGCACGAAAGCGUGGGGAUCAAACAGGAUUAGAUACCCUGGUAGUCCACGCCGUAAACGAUGAAUGCUAGCUGUUAGCGAUAUACUGUUAGCGGCACAGAGAAAUCGUUAAGCAUUCCACCUGGGGAGUACGCCGGCAACGGUGAAACUCAAAGGAAUUGACGGGGNCCCGCACAAGCGGAGGAACAUGUGGUUUAAUUCGAUGAUACGCGAGGAACCUUACCUGGGCUUAAAUUGCAGUGGAAUAACGUGGAAACAUGUUAGCCUUCGGGCCGCUGUGAAGGUGCUGCAUGGUUGUCGUCAGCUCGUGCCGUGAGGUGUCGGCUUAAGUGCCAUAACGAGCGCAACCCUCAUCGAUAGUUACUAACAGGUUAAGCUGAGGACUCUAUCGAGACUGCCGACGUAAGUCGUGAGGAAGGUGGGGAUGACGUCAAAUCAGCACGGCCCUUACGUCCAGGGCUACACACGUGUUACAAUGGGGGGUACAAGGGCAGCUACCUGGCGACAGGAUGCUAAUCUCAAAAACCUCUCUCAGUUCGGAUUGGAGUCUGCAACCCGACUCCAUGAAGCUGGAUUCGCUAGUAAUCGCGCAUCAGCCACGGCGCGGUGAAUACGUUCCCGGGCCUUGUACACACCGCCCGUCAAGCCAUGGGAGCCGGGGGGACCUGAAGUAUGCAACCGUAAGGAGCGUCCUAGGGUAAAACUGGUGACUGGGGCU